Molecule: non-coding RNA, 113 nt
Organism: Acanthosepion pharaonis
Lineage: Eukaryota; Metazoa; Mollusca; Cephalopoda; Sepiida; Sepiidae
Source: the annotation of a GenBank genome assembly
UUACGUUCAUAUCAAGUUGAAAGACCUAUUCUCGUACGAUCACCAAAGUUAAGGAACAUCGAGCCUGGUCAGUACCUAGAUGGGUGACCGUUUGAGAAUACCAGGUGCUGAAA